RNAcentral lists this non-coding RNA (27 nucleotides) under Mus musculus (house mouse). Lineage: Eukaryota; Metazoa; Chordata; Mammalia; Rodentia; Muridae. The record is from RNAcentral.
AAUGUUGAGAACACUGCAGAACAUGGA